GACGAACGCUGGCGGCGUGCUUAACACAUGCAAGUCGAACGGAAAGGCCCUGCUUUUGUGGGGUGCUCGUGUGGCGAACGGGUGAGUAACACGUGAGUAACCUGCCCUUGACUUUGGGAUAACUUCAGGAAACUGGGGCUAAUACCGGAUAGGAGCUCCUGCUGCAUGGUGGGGGUUGGAAAGUUUCGGCGGUUGGGGAUGGACUCGCGGCUUAUCAGCUUGUUGGUGGGGUAGUGGCUUACCAAGGCUUUGACGGGUAGCCGGCCUGAGAGGGUGACCGGCCACAUUGGGACUGAAAUACGGCCCAGACUCCUACGGGAGGCAGCAGUGGGGAAUAUUGCACAAUGGGCGGAAGCCUGAUGCAGCAACGCCGCGUGCGGGAUGACGGCCUUCGGGUUGUAAACCGCUUUCGCCUGUGACGAAGCGUGAGUGACGGUAAUGGGUAAAGAAGCACCGGCUAACUACGUG
RNAcentral lists this ribosomal RNA (468 nucleotides) under uncultured bacterium. RNAcentral describes it as "partial 16S ribosomal RNA". It matches the Rfam family "Bacterial small subunit ribosomal RNA", at positions 28 to 507 of the family's 1533-position model. The record is from RNAcentral.